UUGAUCCCUGGCUCAGAACGAACGCUGGCGGCAGGCUUAACACAUGCAAGUCGAGCGCCCCGCAAGGGGAGCGGCAGACGGGUGAGUAACGCGUGGGAAUCUACCCUUUUCUACGGAAUAACGCAUGGAAACGUGUGCUAAUACCGUAUGAGCCCUUCGGGGGAAAGAUUUAUCGGGAAAGGAUGAGCCCGCGUUGGAUUAGCUAGUUGGUGGGGUAAAGGCCUACCAAGGCGACGAUCCAUAGCUGGUCUGAGAGGAUGAUCAGCCACAUUGGGACUGAGACACGGCCCAAACUCCUACGGGAGGCAGCAGUGGGGAAUAUUGGACAAUGGGCGCAAGCCUGAUCCAGCCAUGCCGCGUGAGUGAUGAAGGCCCUAGGGUUGUAAAGCUCUUUCACCGGUGAAGAUAAUGACGGUAACCGGAGAAGAAGCCCCGGCUAA
This 440-nucleotide ribosomal RNA is filed under the name Ensifer sp. CL2.46. Its description in RNAcentral is "bacterial SSU rRNA". It matches the Rfam family "Bacterial small subunit ribosomal RNA", at positions 13 to 500 of the family's 1533-position model. Lineage: Bacteria; Pseudomonadati; Pseudomonadota; Alphaproteobacteria; Hyphomicrobiales; Rhizobiaceae. The record is from RNAcentral.